UAGCGAAAAAGGCAAACCUUGGGUGAUCAGGGGGCGCAAAGGAAAAGGGUCUUUACCCACCACGGGAAGCUAGGACAAUAAAGAUAGCCUUACUGCCAAA
Molecule: non-coding RNA, 100 nt
Filed under: Candidatus Brocadia
Lineage: Bacteria; Pseudomonadati; Planctomycetota; Candidatus Brocadiia; Candidatus Brocadiales; Candidatus Brocadiaceae
Also listed under: 1 other name
Description: c-di-GMP sequence
Rfam family: c-di-GMP-I riboswitch aptamer
About the family: GEMM was predicted in a large-scale screen for bacterial structured RNA regulatory elements. Genes associated with GEMM are involved in a diverse array of functions, including chemotaxis regulation, signal transduction, secretion and chitin.
Source: RNAcentral